UUUUACGGAGAGUUUGAUCCUGGCUCAGGACGAACGCUGGCGGCGUGCUUAACACAUGCAAGUCGAACGAUGAAGCCCAGCUUGCUGGGUGGAUUAGUGGCGAAC
RNAcentral lists this ribosomal RNA (105 nucleotides) under Cellulosimicrobium sp. CUA-896. RNAcentral describes it as "partial 16S ribosomal RNA". It matches the Rfam family "Bacterial small subunit ribosomal RNA", at positions 1 to 103 of the family's 1533-position model. Lineage: Bacteria; Bacillati; Actinomycetota; Actinomycetes; Micrococcales; Promicromonosporaceae. The record is from RNAcentral.